GUAGUCAUAUGCUUGUCUCAAAGAUUAAGCCAUGCAUGUCUAAGUAUAAGCAAUUAUACAGCGAAACUGCGAAUGGCUCAUUAAAUCAGUUAUCGUUUAUUUGAUAGUACCUUACUACAUGGAUAACCGUGGUAGUUCUAGAGCUAAUACAUGCUGAAAAUCCCGACUUCGGAAGGGAUGUAUUUAUUAGAUAAAAAACCAAUGCCCUUCGGGGCUCCUUGGUGAAUCAUAAUAACUUAACGAAUCGCAUGGCCUUGCGCCGGCGAUGGUUCAUUCAAAUUUCUGCCCUAUCAACUUUCGAUGGUAGGAUAGUGGCCUACCAUGGUAUCAACGGGUAACGGGGAAU
Molecule: ribosomal RNA, 346 nt
Filed under: uncultured fungus
Lineage: Eukaryota; Fungi
Description: SSU rRNA
Rfam family: Eukaryotic small subunit ribosomal RNA
Source: RNAcentral